AUUCUUUGCUUUUUUUUUUUUGACUUAAAACCGUGAUAGUGUUACCAAGAUUUAAAUUUACGUCUAUCUGAGGUAUUUGAUAAUCAGAAGUAGGCGUUUAUUAAAUUGUUUAUAUAUUGGCAACCUUGUAGUUACUAAAGUUUUGCGUUUUUACUUUCAACCAAUGAAAAUUACGGUGUACGCAGAGAAAUUAGAUAAAAUAAAGUGAGUGGCUAUAUCUGAUGUUCUAAAACAUCAAAGAAAAAGAAAACAUGCUACAAAAUAUUAUCGACUUUUGCAAUUACUGGUGGUUUCGCUAUUUGAUGGUAACCGAGCUUUACAUGGUUGAAAAAUGGGAGAGAAUAACUAUACAUGUUAUAUUCGCUGUACUUUUUGGACUCUUUUGGUACUUUAAUUAUUCUGUAUUGCUUUCAUUUACGGGCAGUCUAUUAGGCAUAACACCGGUAUCUAAUAUUGUGGAGCCACAAGGCAGUAAAAUAAUAUAACAAAGAGGCGUUACACUAUCAGCAAAAGCAUUAACUAUAAAAUCAUUUAUCUCUGUAAAAACACAAUUUCCCAAAGCACCAAAAGCCUCUUGGGGACAAAAGUACAUUGACAUCUUAUGUUGUAUCCCGCAAACGAAAGCACUGCGGCCCACCUAAAUGGCUUUUUAUAUGUAUAAAAAAGAAAGGAUUUUUACAAAAAGUGAAAUAUAAUCAUUUUCUUCUUUUACAACAACUAAAAUAUUGAUCUCUAAGAUCAUCAUAUAUCUUCAAUUAAUUUAUGUAAAUAUAAUUUAACAAAUAAAGGAAAGAAUGCCUUAUUUUAUUUUACUAUCAUUACCAUAUAAAAUUAUUUUAGACGAUUUAGUUUACAUGGUAUAGAAAACAUUCGCAAUUUUCAUGCCAAAACAUAUGCAUUGGCCAAAAUUACCUCUUUAUUUAUAAGAUCUAAAAGCAAAAGGAACGUAUUUAUAUCCAGCGUAAAAUCGCAAGUCAAUGGAAUCAUGCAUGCCUGCAGCGUGCCGCAUCAGAAGCUCACGCAAUCAGUAUUGAUAUAAGAACCUGAGAUCGUAUAUAUUCACUUGAUUACCACAAAUCAACAUUCGAAACGGGCUUGACCAGCAUACAGUAGCAAAAAACUACAGCCAGGGAGGCAGAGUUUUUAUCUAAAUCUGACUUCAAAUAUUCAUCAGUGCAGUCGGAAAGUUGCUAAGUUGUUCCCUAAAAUUACAAUUAUAUUUCUGGUAGAAAAAUGUUUUAUGUCUAAAAGACUGACAACUUAUUGUGGCGUACAACAUUUGAUUUUCUUGAAGAACGGCGCUGUUCUUUUAUCUCCUUUGGGGAUUUUAGAUCGAGUUUUCAGUAUAUUGCUUUGUUCAAAAAAUAUGUCAAAUUUAAUUUUAUUUUUUUUUAAAUUCGUUUAUUAUUCCAAAUCCAUUAUGUCGCCUUCAAAGUAAUUCCCCUCAGACACUAAAUAUUUGAGCCAACGUUUCUCCCAAUCAUCAAAACGUCGUGAUAUUCGAUUUCCAGAAUAGCCUUCAAAGCUUCUUGCGAUUCUUGUAUCUAUUCAAUCGCGUUAAAAUGCUGUGCCUUUUGCGAAAAGCUUCAAGCAAAUGAUCCACAAAAUUAAAAUAAUAUUCCAUGUUAACAGUUUGGGCCGGCGGAAGGAACUCGUAGCGCACAACGCAAUGGUAAUCGAAAAAAACUGUCGACGUCACUUCGACUUUGCCGCGGUGUCGUCGGUUUCGACCCACGUUUUGCACGAUAUUUCAAUAAUUGUUAAUCGACGGCUUUUGAGCACCGAAUCCUUGGUUAAUGGUCGCCCGGGAUGCUCUUCGUUUUCAAUCAGUUCUCGGUCUCCUUUGAAAUGUUUAGAUCACUUGUAAACAUUUCUUUUUGACAAAGUCUGCUCAUUACGGGUUCUUUGCAACAUACUAAAAAUGCUAAAAGUUUUGUCACAAGAAAUUCCAUUUCGCAAACAGAAUUUAAUGCACCUUCUCAAGCGAACCGAUAAUAAAAUUGCAGCUGCUGAGAUCAAAUUUACAUUAAUAUUGAUUAUAAAACAAGCAAAGCUAACAAAAAUCUUUCUUUUAGAGUUGCAUUUGCGGAAAGAUAUAAACAGCUGUUAGGAAGUGACUUAUUAAUUCAAAACACUGAAAAAGGUGAAAUAAAUUAAAAUGCGUCCGAAAUUACAUAUGUAAAUUGUGAAUGAAGAGAAAACAUAUAUGAGUAAAAAAGUACCAUUGUGUACAUUUCCAGCAUAAUGUUUCGUAACUUCCUCUGGUACUCGUUCUUUGAAGAGGAGAACAAGGACAUCCGCAACGCAAAAGAAAGGAUAACUAAGAGACAGGCGAGAAAAGAUAUACGGGAUGCAACUGACCACCUAGCGCUACCUCAAAACCAUUUUAUGCAUAAGUUCCGCGUUUCCAAAGUGGCUUUUUCUUACGUCCUGGAUAAAAUUGGUAUGACUGAUGGUAUAAUAUAUACCGGUGGUGUUGAACUUAAUCGUGAUUUAUUGACUUCAGGAGGUUAUCAAUGCCUGGUCUGCAGCGAUCAAACGGUAAAUACUGUGCAGAGCAGCUUACCAACCGUUGUACC
This is an RNA transcript of Glossina fuscipes, 2579 nucleotides long. RefSeq lists it as uncharacterized. The transcript has 4 exons. The record is from RefSeq and is a predicted model, not a curated record. Lineage: Eukaryota; Metazoa; Arthropoda; Insecta; Diptera; Glossinidae.